Molecule: ribosomal RNA, 595 nt
Filed under: uncultured Lachnospiraceae bacterium
Lineage: Bacteria; Bacillati; Bacillota; Clostridia; Lachnospirales; Lachnospiraceae
Description: bacterial SSU rRNA
Rfam family: Bacterial small subunit ribosomal RNA
Source: RNAcentral
ACUUAGUGGCGGACGGGUGAGUAACGCGUGGGUAACCUGCCCUGUACAGGGGGACAACAGCUGGAAACGGCUGCUAAUACCGCAUAAGCCCUUAGCACUGCAUGGUGCAUAGGGAAAAGGAGCAAUCCGGUACAGGAUGGACCCGCGUCUGAUUAGCCAGUUGGCAGGGUAACGGCCUACCAAAGCGACGAUCAGUAGCCGAUCUGAGAGGAUGUACGGCCACAUUGGGACUGAGACACGGCCCAGACUCCUACGGGAGGCAGCAGUGGGGAAUAUUGCACAAUGGAGGAAACUCUGAUGCAGCGACGCCGCGUGAGUGAAGAAGUAUUUCGGUAUGUAAAGCUCUAUCAGCAGGGAAGAAAAUGACGGUACCUGACUAAGAAGCACCGGCUAAAUACGUGCCAGCAGCCGCGGUAAUACGUAUGGUGCAAGCGUUAUCCGGAUUUACUGGGUGUAAAGGGAGCGUAGUUGGCAAGGCAAGCCAGAAGUGAAAACCCGGGGCUCAACCGCGGGAUUGCUUUUGGAACUGUCAUGCUAGAGUGCAGGAGGGGUGAGCGGAAUUCCUAGUGUAGCGGUGAAAUGCGUAGAUAUUAGG